CUGACCGUAAACGAUGCCAACUAGCGAUCCGUCGGCGGCUCUACGGCCCUGAUGGGGAGCUUCCCGGAAACGAAAGUCUUCCGGUUCCGGGGGAAGUAUGGUUGCAAAGCUGAAACUUAAAGGAAUUGACGGAAGGGCACCACCAGGAGUGGAGCCUGCGGCUUAAUUUGACUCAACACGGGAAAACUCACCCGGCCCGGACACCGUGAGGAUUGACAGAUUGAUAGCUUUUUCAUGAUUCGGUGGUUGGUGGUGCAUGGCCGUUCUUAGUUCGUGGAUCGAUUUGUCUGGUUUAUUCCGAUAACGAGCGAGACUCCAGCCUACUAACUAGUACGGGCAUUGCCUCUGUGCCCGGCACUUCUUAGAGGGAUUGGCUGCGUCUAGCGGCACGAAACGGAGCAAUAACAGGUCUGUGAUGCCCUUAGAUGUCCGGGGCUGCACGCGCGCUACACUGGCAAAGGCAGCGUGCUUGUCCGUCUCCGAAAGGAGCCGGUAAACCCUUGAAAAUUUGCCGUGAUUGGAUCGGAAAUUGCAAUUAUUUCCGUGAACGAGGAAUUCCUAGUAAGUGCGAGUCAUCAGCUCGCGUUG
RNAcentral lists this ribosomal RNA (588 nucleotides) under Mesocriconema sp. p XZ-2021. RNAcentral's name for it is "SSU rRNA". It matches the Rfam family "Eukaryotic small subunit ribosomal RNA", at positions 1026 to 1643 of the family's 1831-position model. Lineage: Eukaryota; Metazoa; Nematoda; Chromadorea; Rhabditida; Criconematidae. The record is from RNAcentral.